GGUUAAGUUAGUAAGGGCGCACGGUGGAUGCCUUGGCACUAGGAGCCGAUGAAGGACGUGACAAACGACGAAAUGCUUUGGGUAGCUGUAAGUAAGCGAAGAUCCAGAGAUGUCCGAAUGGGGGAACCCACUAGCUGCUGGCUAGUAUCUUUAGUUGUUAAGACUAAAGAGGGAAGACGCAGUGAACUGAAACAUCUAAGUAGCUGCAGGAAGAGAAAGCAAACGCGAUUGCCUGAGUAGCGGCGAGCGAAACGGCAGGAGGGCAAACCGAGUGGUUUACCACUCGGGGUUGUAGGACUGCGACAUGUGAAGUUAGACUAUAGAAGAAUGACAUGGGAAGGUCAGCCAAAGAGAGUGAGAGCCUCGUAUUUAAAAUAGUUUAAUGAACUAGCAGUAUCCUGAGUACGGCGGGACACGAGAAAUCCCGUCGGAAUCUGGGAGGACCAUCUCCCAACCCUAAAUACUCCCUAGUGACCGAUAGUGAACCAGUACCGUGAGGGAAAGGUGAAAAGCACCCCGGGAGGGGAGUGAAAUAGAACCUGAAACCGUGUGCCUACAAGAAGUUCGAGCCCGUUAAUGGGUGAGAGCGUGCCUUUUGUAGAAUGAACCGGCGAGUUACGAUUACAUGCGAGGUUAAGUUGAAGAGACGGAGCCGCAGGGAAACCGAGUCUGAAAAGGGCGGUAUAGUAUGUAGUCGUAGACCCGAAACCAUGUGACCUACCCAUGAGCAGGUUGAAGGUGAGGUAAAACUCACUGGAGGACCGAACCAGGGCACGUUGAAAAGUGCUUGGAUGACUUGUGGGUAGCGGAGAAAUUCCAAACGAACUUGGAGAUAGCUGGUUCUCUCCGAAAUAGCUUUAGGGCUAGCGUCGACAUUAAGAAUCUUGGAGGUAGAGCACUGUUUGGGUGAGGGGUCCAUCUCGGAUUACCAAUCUCAGAUAAACUCCGAAUGCCAAUGAUUUAUGGUCGGCAGUCAGACUGCGAGUGCUAAGAUCCGUAGUCGAAAGGGAAACAGCCCAGACCACCAGCUAAGGUCCCAAAAUAAUUGUUAAGUGGAAAAGGAUGUGGGGUUGCACAGACAACUAGGAUGUUAGCUUAGAAGCAGCUAUUCAUUCAAAGAGUGCGUAAUAGCUCACUAGUCGAGUGACCCUGCGCCGAAAAUGUACCGGGGCUAAAACAAUUUACCGAAGCUGUGGAUCCUAAUAAGGAUGGUAGGAGAGCGUUCUAUGUGUGGAGAAGGUGUACCGUGAGGAGCACUGGAACGCAUAGAAGUGAGAAUGCCGGUAUGAGUAGCGCAAGAUGGGUGAGAAUCCCAUCCACCGUAAGACUAAGGUUUCCAGGGGAAGGCUCGUCCGCCCUGGGUUAGUCGGGACCUAAGGAGAGACCGAAAGGUGUAUUCGAUGGACAACAGGUUGAUAUUCCUGUACUAGUAUAUAGAGUGAAGGAGUGACGCAGAAGGCUAGGGGAAGCCAGUUAAUGGAUUCUGGUCUAAACAGUGAGGUGUGGUAAGAGUCAAAUGCUUUUACCUGUAACAUUGAGCUGUGAUGGGGAGGUAGCUAAGGCUAUCGAGUCCCUGAUGUCAGGCUGCCGAGAAAAGCUUCUAGCGCUAAUCUAUAUACUACCCGUACCGCAAACCGACACAGGUAGUCGAGGCGAGUAGCCUCAGGUGAUCGAGAGAACUCUCGUUAAGGAACUCGGCAAAAUGGCCCCGUAACUUCGGGAGAAGGGGCGCUCAGUAUAACUGAGCCGCAGUGAAAAGGCCCAAGCAACUGUUUAUCAAAAACACAGCUCUCUGCUAAAUCGUAAGAUGAUGUAUAGGGGGUGACGCCUGCCCGGUGCUGGAAGGUUAAGAGGAGUGCUUAGCGGUAACGCGAAGGUAUGAAUUGAAGCCCCAGUAAACGGCGGCCGUAACUAUAACGGUCCUAAGGUAGCGAAAUUCCUUGUCGGGUAAGUUCCGACCCGCACGAAAGGCGUAAUGAUUUGGGCACUGUCUCAACGAGAGACUCGGUGAAAUUUUAGUACCUGUGAAGAUGCAGGUUACCCGCGACAGGACGGAAAGACCCCAUGGAGCUUUACUGCAGUUUGAUAUUGAGUAUCUGUGCCACAUGUACAGGAUAGGUAGGAGCCAAUGAUCUAGGGACGCCAGUUUCUAGUGAGGCGCUGUUGGGAUACUACCCUUGUUGUAUGGCUACUCUAACCCGGAUAGGUGA
RNAcentral lists this ribosomal RNA (2210 nucleotides) under Streptococcus danieliae. RNAcentral describes it as "Streptococcus sp. ERD01G Bacterial large subunit ribosomal RNA". It matches the Rfam family "Bacterial large subunit ribosomal RNA", at positions 1 to 2238 of the family's 2925-position model. Lineage: Bacteria; Bacillati; Bacillota; Bacilli; Lactobacillales; Streptococcaceae. The record is from Rfam by way of RNAcentral.